CUGCAAUUGCAAAUACGAGGACGAUGCCGAUAUGUCCGAUAGAGUCGUCAGUGCUUUCUGAACUCAGCAAAUCCUGUUAUGCACCAGAGAUGAAUUAUUGGAUAGAAUCCUUUCUAGAGGUGGAAAAUAUUCCGAAGAUGAUGCAAAGGAAGUCAUGGUUCAGAUAUUGAGUGUGGUUUCCUAUUGUCAUCUCCAAGGGGGGUUGUUCACCGUGACCUCAAGCCUGAGGUAAUGAACUCCAACAUUUUCAUUUAUGGCACAGUUGUUUAGCUUAUUUAAAAAGCUUAAUGCCCCGGAAAAUAUGACAUCUUGUAAGCCGUUACUUGAACUUCAACCCCCUCCUGGUCUCAGAUGCUUGAAGGGGAUUUCCAUCUUGUGUCAGUUUUACGUUUAACCUCUCCUUCUAUGGUGCUGCUUUAGCUAUUACAUUGUAAUAUAUGCUUUUGUUUAGUCAAGUACUUGCUUUGUCAAAAAUUGCAUCUCCGCGUUAGUUGUUUCUAAGCUACAUGGAUGUUGUUGGUUGUGCUCUCUUUUUAUCGUCAGCUUCUUUUAGUACAGAAACCUCAAAAUUAUGGAGGAUUUAAUAUUUUGCCUUGGGUACUUGAGUGAGAUAGGGAAAUAUACUAUCGAACCAGUUAUAGCAUUUACACAAAUAGCUGUAGCCUGUCGGAUAUACACCCCUGGGUUAUGAUCCGCUCGUGUUAUAUUUUAAGUAGCAUGAGAUUUCACUUUCAUGCUAUUGUACACUGAUUAUUAUGCCGUGAAUUGUCAACGUAAUUAAACUACUGCGACUUGGAUAGAAAAGCUUCUGUGUGACAAUAUA
Molecule: long non-coding RNA, 823 nt
Organism: Rhododendron vialii
Lineage: Eukaryota; Viridiplantae; Streptophyta; Magnoliopsida; Ericales; Ericaceae
Exons: 3
Source: RefSeq, a predicted model, not a curated record